CUUUGCACUGUUACUCAGGACUUGUUCUUGGUAUGCUUUGUACUCUGAAGUAGUUGCCUG
RNAcentral lists this small RNA (60 nucleotides) under Arabidopsis thaliana (thale cress). RNAcentral describes it as "ATSL237970". The record is from RNAcentral. Lineage: Eukaryota; Viridiplantae; Streptophyta; Magnoliopsida; Brassicales; Brassicaceae.